RNAcentral lists this ribosomal RNA (190 nucleotides) under uncultured bacterium. RNAcentral's name for it is "partial 16S ribosomal RNA". It matches the Rfam family "Bacterial small subunit ribosomal RNA", at positions 1311 to 1500 of the family's 1533-position model. The record is from RNAcentral.
CUCGACUACAUGAAGCUGGAAUCGCUAGUAAUCGCGGAUCAGCAUGCCGCGGUGAAUACGUUCCCGGGCCUUGUACACACCGCCCGUCACACCAUGAGAGCCGGUAACACCCGAAGUCAGAAGCCUAACCGCAAGGAGGGCGCUGCCGAAGGUGGGAUUGAUGACUGGGGUGAAGUCGUAACAAGGUACC